UACGUAGGGGGCAAGCGUUGUCCGGAAUCAUUGGGCGUAAAGAGCGUGUAGGCGGUUCGGUAAGUCGGCUGUGAAAGUCCAGGGCUCAACCCUGGGAUGCCGGUCGAUACUGCCGGACUAGAGUGCGGCAGAGGGGGAUGGAAUUCCGCGUGUAGCAGUGAAAUGCGUAGAUAUGCGGAGGAACACCGAUGGCGAAGGCAAUCCCCUGGGCCUGCACUGACGCUCAUGCACGAAAGCGUGGGGAGCAAACAGG
RNAcentral lists this ribosomal RNA (253 nucleotides) under uncultured bacterium. RNAcentral's name for it is "partial 16S ribosomal RNA". It matches the Rfam family "Bacterial small subunit ribosomal RNA", at positions 524 to 776 of the family's 1533-position model. The record is from RNAcentral.